UAUUUUUAUUAACUGUUGAAAAUUAGUAGCUCCAGUCAGAGUCAUCACAGCACACAGAAGUAAAGGGAGAGUCUGGAUCUUCAUGAUGGACCGAAUGCAGGUUAAAGAUGACGAUUACCUUCAGAUA
Long non-coding RNA from Melanotaenia boesemani (Boeseman's rainbowfish), 127 nucleotides. RefSeq lists it as uncharacterized. Lineage: Eukaryota; Metazoa; Chordata; Actinopteri; Atheriniformes; Melanotaeniidae. The transcript is spliced from 3 exons. The record is from RefSeq and is a predicted model, not a curated record.